Molecule: unclassified non-coding RNA, 253 nt
Filed under: uncultured Bacteroidales bacterium
Lineage: Bacteria; Pseudomonadati; Bacteroidota; Bacteroidia; Bacteroidales
Description: contains 16S-23S intergenic spacer region
Rfam family: Bacterial small subunit ribosomal RNA
Source: RNAcentral
UACGGAGGGUGCAAGCGUUAUCCGGAUUCACUGGGCUUAAAGGGUGCGUAGGCGGGAUGAUAAGUCAGUGGUGAAAGCCUGCGGCUUAACCGUAGAAUUGCCAUUGAUACUGUCGUUCUUGAGUGCAGUUGAAGUGGGCGGAAUGUGGCAUGUAGCGGUGAAAUGCAUAGAUAUGCCACAGAACACCGAUUGCGAAGGCAGCUCACUAACCUGCUACUGACGCUGAGGCACGAAAGCGUGGGGAGCGAACAGG